AGUGAACGCUGGCGGUAGGCCUAACACAUGCAAGUCGAACGGCAGCACAGCAAGAGCUUGCUCUUACGGGUGGCGAGUGGCGGACGGGUGAGGAAUACAUCGGAAUCUACUUUUUCGUGGGGGAUAACGUAGGGAAACUUACGCUAAUACCGCAUACGACCUACGGGUGAAAGCAGGGGAUCUUCGGACCUUGCGCGAUUGAAUGAGCCGAUGUCGGAUUAGCUAGUUGGCGGGGUAAAGGCCCACCAAGGCGACGAUCCGUAGCUGGUCUGAGAGGAUGAUCAGCCACACUGGAACUGAGACACGGUCCAGACCCCUACGGGAGGCAGCAGUGGGGAAUAUUGGACAAUGGGCGCAAGCCUGAUCCAGCCAUACCGCGUGGGUGAAGAAGGCCUUCGGGUUGUAAAGCCCUUUUGUUGGGAAAGAAAAGCAGCAGGUUAAUACCCCGCUGUUCUGACGGUACCCAAAGAAUAAGCACCGGCUAACUUCGUG
This 492-nucleotide ribosomal RNA is filed under the name uncultured bacterium. RNAcentral describes it as "partial 16S ribosomal RNA". It matches the Rfam family "Bacterial small subunit ribosomal RNA", at positions 29 to 507 of the family's 1533-position model. The record is from RNAcentral.